UACGAAGGGGGCUAGCGUUGUUCGGAAUUACUGGGCGUAAAGGGCGCGUAGGCGGUACUUCAAGUCAGGCGUGAAAGCCCCGGGCUCAACCUGGGAACCGCGCUUGAGACUGGAGAACUAGAGUUCGGGAGAGGAUGUGGAAUUCCCAGUGUAGAGGUGAAAUUCGUAGAUAUUGGGAAGAACACCGAUGGCGAAGGCAGCUCGCUGGAACGGUACUGACGCUGAGGCGCGAAAGCGUGGGGAGCGAACAGG
RNAcentral lists this ribosomal RNA (252 nucleotides) under uncultured bacterium. RNAcentral describes it as "partial 16S ribosomal RNA". It matches the Rfam family "Bacterial small subunit ribosomal RNA", at positions 524 to 776 of the family's 1533-position model. The record is from RNAcentral.